RNAcentral lists this ribosomal RNA (372 nucleotides) under Bacillus velezensis. RNAcentral's name for it is "bacterial SSU rRNA". It matches the Rfam family "Bacterial small subunit ribosomal RNA", at positions 1 to 343 of the family's 1533-position model. The record is from RNAcentral. Lineage: Bacteria; Bacillati; Bacillota; Bacilli; Caryophanales; Bacillaceae.
UUAUCGGAGAGUUUGAUCCUGGCUCAGGACGAACGCUGGCGGCGUGCCUAAUACAUGCAAGUCGAGCGGACAGAUGGGAGCUUGCUCCCUGAUGUUAGCGGCGGACGGGUGAGUAACACGUGGGUAACCUGCCUGUAAGACUGGGAUAACUCCGGGAAACCGGGGCUAAUACCGGAUGCUUGUUUGAACCGCAUGGUUCAGACAUAAAAGGUGGCUUCGGCUACCACUUACAGAUGGACCCGCGGCGCAUUAGCUAGUUGGUGAGGUAACGGCUCACCAAGGCGACGAUGCGUAGCCGACCUGAGAGGGUGAUCGGCCACACUGGGACUGAGACACGGCCACGCACAGACACUUCGACACCCAUCAACCAUC